GAUGAACGCUGGCGGCGUGCCUAAUACAUGCAAGUAGAACGCUGAAGGAAGGAGCUUGCUCUUUCCGGAUGAGUUGCGAACGGGUGAGUAACGCGUAGGUAACCUGCCUGGUAGCGGGGGAUAACUAUUGGAAACGAUAGCUAAUACCGCAUAACAGUAGAUGUUGCAUGAUAUCUACUUAAAAGGUGCAAUUGCACCACUACCAGAUGGACCUGCGUUGUAUUAGCUAGUUGGUGAGGUAACGGCUCACCAAGGCGACGAUACAUAGCCGACCUGAGGGGGUGAUCGGCCACACUGGGACUGAGACACGGCCCAGACUCCUACGGGAGGCAGCAGUAGGGAAUCUUCGGCAAUGGACGGAAGUCUGACCGAGCAACGCCGCGUGAGUGAAGAAGGUUUUCGGAUCGUAAAGCUCUGUUGUAAGAGAAGAACGAGUGUGAGAGUGGAAAGUUCACACUGUGACGGUAUCUUACCAGAAAGGGACGGCUAACCACGUG
This 497-nucleotide ribosomal RNA is filed under the name uncultured bacterium. Its description in RNAcentral is "partial 16S ribosomal RNA". It matches the Rfam family "Bacterial small subunit ribosomal RNA", at positions 28 to 507 of the family's 1533-position model. The record is from RNAcentral.